GUAGGUGAACCUGCGGAAGGAUCAUUAUUGAAUAUUCUUGAUGGGUUGUAGCUGGCUCUUCGGGGCAUGUGCACGCUUGUCUUGACUUUAUUCAUCCACCUGUGCACUUUUUGUAGUCUUGGAGGUUGAGAGCGGUCAACUAUCGGAUAGCUGUUAUGGCCUUUCCGGAUGUGAGGAAUUGCUGAGUGCAAAAGCAUACAGCUCUUCUCAAAACGACUUGCAAUACCUCUCCUUCAAGUACUAUGUAUUCAUAUACCACAUAGUAUGUUGUAGAAUGUGAUCAAUGGGCUUAUGUGCCUAUAAUAAUCAUAUACAACUUUCAGCAACGGAUCUCUUGGCUCUC
This 343-nucleotide unclassified non-coding RNA is filed under the name rhizosphere metagenome. Its description in RNAcentral is "partial ribosomal RNA internal transcribed spacer region". The record is from RNAcentral.